UACGUAGGGGGCAAGCGUUGUCCGGAUUUAUUGGGCGUAAAGAGCGUGUAGGCGGCCAGACAGGUCCGUUGUGAAAACUCGAGGCUCAACCUCGAGACGCCGAUGGAAACCCUCCAGCUAGAGUCCGGAAGAGGAGAGUGGAAUUCCUGGUGUAGCGGUGAAAUGCGCAGAUAUCAGGAAGAACACCCGUGGCUAAGGCGGCUCUCUAGUACGGUACUGACGCUGAGACGCGAAAGCGUGGGGAGCGAACAGG
This 253-nucleotide ribosomal RNA is filed under the name uncultured bacterium. RNAcentral describes it as "partial 16S ribosomal RNA". It matches the Rfam family "Bacterial small subunit ribosomal RNA", at positions 524 to 776 of the family's 1533-position model. The record is from RNAcentral.